UGAACGCUGGCGGCGUGCCUAAUACAUGCAAGUCGAACGAGUUCUGAUUAUUGAAAGGUGCUUGCAUCUUGAUUUAAUUUUGAACGAGUGGCGGACGGGUGAGUAACACGUGGGUAACCUGCCCUUAAGUGGGGGAUAACAUUUGGAAACAGAUGCUAAUACCGCAUAAAUCCAAAAACCGCAUGGUUCUUGGCUGAAAGAUGGCGUAAGCUAUCGCUUUUGGAUGGACCCGCGGCGUAUUAGCUAGUUGGUGAGGUAACGGCUCACCAAGGCAAUGAUACGUAGCCGAACUGAGAGGUUGAUCGGCCACACUGGGACUGAGACACGGCCCAAACUCCUACGGGAGGCAGCAGUAGGGAAUCUUCCACAAUGGACGCAAGUCUGAUGGAGCAACGCCACGUGAGUGAAGAAGGCUUUCGGGUCGUAAAACUCUGUUGUUGGAGAAGAAUGGUCGGCAGAGUAACUGUUGUCGGCGUGACGGUAUCCAACCAGAAAGCCACGGCUAACUACGUGCCAGCAGCCGCGGUAAUACGUAGGUGGCAAGCGUUAUCCGGAUUUAUUGGGCGUAAAGCGAGCGCAGGCGGUUUUUUAAGUCUGAUGUGAAAGCCCUCGGCUUAACCGAGGAAGUGCAUCGGAAACUGGGAAACUUGAGUGCAGAAGAGGACAGUGGAACUCCAUGUGUAGCGGUGAAAUGCGUAGAUAUAUGGAAGAACACCAGUGGCGAAGGCGGCUGUCUGGUCUGUAACUGACGCUGAGGCUCGAAAGCAUGGGUAGCGAACAGGAUUAGAUACCCUGGUAGUCCAUGCCGUAAACGAUGAAUGCUAGGUGUUGGAGGGUUUCCGCCCUUCAGUGCCGCAGCUAACGCAUUAAGCAUUCCGCCUGGGGAGUACGACCGCAAGGUUGAAACUCAAAGGAAUUGACGGGGGCCCGCACAAGCGGUGGAGCAUGUGGUUUAAUUCGAAGCAACGCGAAGAACCUUACCAGGUCUUGACAUCUUUUGAUCACCUGAGAGAUCAGGUUUCCCCUUCGGGGGCAAAAUGACAGGUGGUGCAUGGUUGUCGUCAGCUCGUGUCGUGAGAUGUUGGGUUAAGUCCCGCAACGAGCGCAACCCUUAUGACUAGUUGCCAGCAUUUAGUUGGGCACUCUAGUAAGACUGCCGGUGACAAACCGGAGGAAGGUGGGGAUGACGUCAAAUCAUCAUGCCCCUUAUGACCUGGGCUACACACGUGCUACAAUGGAUGGUACAACGAGUUGCGAGACCGCGAGGUCAAGCUAAUCUCUUAAAGCCAUUCUCAGUUCGGACUGUAGGCUGCAACUCGCCUACACGAAGUCGGAAUCGCUAGUAAUCGCGGAUCAGCACGCCGCGGUGAAUACGUUCCCGGGCCUUGUACACACCGCCCGUCACACCAUGAGAGUUUGUAACACCCGAAGCCGGUGGCGUAACCCUUUUAGGGAGCGAGCCGUCUAAGGUGGGACAAAUGAUUAGGGUGA
RNAcentral lists this ribosomal RNA (1491 nucleotides) under uncultured organism. RNAcentral's name for it is "SSU rRNA". It matches the Rfam family "Bacterial small subunit ribosomal RNA". The record is from RNAcentral.